CUACGUGCCAGCAGCCGCGGUAAUACGGAAGGUCCAGGCGUUAUCCGGAUUUAUUGGGUUUAAAGGGAGCGUAGGCUGGAGAUUAAGUGUGUUGUGAAAUGUAGACGCUCAACGUCUGAAUUGCAGCGCAUACUGGUUUCCUUGAGUACGCACAACGUUGGCGGAAUUCGUCGUGUAGCGGUGAAAUGCUUAGAUAUGACGAAGAACUCCGAUUGCGAAGGCAGCUGACGGGAGCGCAACUGACGCUUAAGCUCGAAGGUGCGGGUAUCAAACAGGAUUAGAUACCCUGGUAGUCCGCACAGUAAACGAUGGAUGCCCGCUGUUGGUACCUGGUAUCAGCGGCUAAGCGAAAGCAUUAAGCAUCCCACCUGGGGAGUACGCCGGCAACGGUGAAACUCAAAGGAAUUGACGGGGGCCCGCACAAGCGGAGGAACAUGUGGUUUAAUUCGAUGAUACGCGAGGA
This 463-nucleotide ribosomal RNA is filed under the name uncultured bacterium. RNAcentral describes it as "bacterial SSU rRNA". It matches the Rfam family "Bacterial small subunit ribosomal RNA", at positions 501 to 967 of the family's 1533-position model. The record is from RNAcentral.